GACGAACGCUGGCGGCGUGCUUAACACAUGCAAGUCGAACGAUGAAGCUGGAGCUUGCUCCGGUGGAUUAGUGGUGAACGGGUGAGUAACACGUGAGCAAUCUGCCCUUGACUCUGGGAUAACUGCGGGAAACUGUAGCUAAUACCGGAUACUUUCACUGGAAGGCAUCUUCUGGUGAAGAAAGAAUUUCGGUCAAGGAUGAGCUCGCGGCCUAUCAGCUUGUUGGUGAGGUAACGGCUCACCAAGGCGACGACGGGUAGCCGGCCUGAGAGGGUGAACGGCCACACUGGGACUGAGACACGGCCCAGACUCCUACGGGAGGCAGCAGUGGGGAAUAUUGCACAAUGGGCGCAAGCCUGAUGCAGCAACGCCGCGUGAGGGAUGAAGGCCUUAGGGUUGUAAACCUCUUUUAGCAGGGAAGAAGCGAAAGUGACGGUACCUGCAGAAAAAGCACCGGCUAACUACGUGCCAGCCGCCGCGGUAA
This 484-nucleotide ribosomal RNA is filed under the name uncultured bacterium. RNAcentral describes it as "partial 16S ribosomal RNA". It matches the Rfam family "Bacterial small subunit ribosomal RNA", at positions 28 to 523 of the family's 1533-position model. The record is from RNAcentral.